GACGAACGCUGGCGGCGUGCUUAACACAUGCAAGUCGAACGAUGAAGCUCUAGCUUGCUGGGGUGGAUUAGUGGCGAACGGGUGAGUAACACGUGAGUAACCUGCCCUUUACUUCGGGAUAAGCUUGGGAAACUGGGUCUAAUACCGGAUAUUCUGCGUGAUCGGAUGGUUGUGUAGGAAAGAUUUUUUGGUAAGGGAUGGGCUCGCGGCCUAUCAGUUUGUUGGUGGGGUGAUGGCCUACCAAGACGACGACGGGUAGCCGGCCUGAGAGGGCGACCGGCCACACUGGGACUGAGACACGGCCCAGACUCCUACGGGAGGCAGCAGUGGGGAAUAUUGCACAAUGGGGGAAACCCUGAUGCAGCGACGCCGCGUGGGGGAUGACGGCCUUCGGGUUGUAAACCUCUUUCAGUAGGGAAGAAGCGAAAGUGACGGUACCUGCAGAAGAAGUACCGGCUAACUACGUGCCAGCAGCCGCGGUAAUACGUAGGGUACUAGCGUUGUCCGGAAUUAUUGGGCGUAAAGAGCUCGUAGUGGUUUGUCGCGUCUGCUGUGGAAACGUGCCGCUUAACGGCGCGCGUGCAGUGGGUACGGGCGGACUAGAGUGCAGUAGGGGAGUCUGGAAUUCCUGGUGUAGCGGUGAAAUGCGCAGAUAUCAGGAGGAACACCGGUGGCGAAGGCGGGACUCUGGGCUGUUACUGACGCUGAGGAGCGAAAGCAUGGGGAGCGAACAGGAUUAGAUACCCUGGUAGUCCAUGCCGUAAACGUUGGGCACUAGGUGUGGGGUCCAUUCCACGGAUUCUGCGCCGUAGCUAACGCAUUAAGUGCCCCGCCUGGGGAGUACGGCCGCAAGGCUAAAACUCAAAGGAAUUGACGGGGGCCCGCACAAGCGGCGGAGCAUGCGGAUUAAUUCGAUGCAACGCGAAGAACCUUACCAAGGCUUGACAUGCACUAGACCAUCGCAGAGAUGUGGUUUUCUUUUUGACUGGUGUACAGGUGGUGCAUGGUUGUCGUCAGCUCGUGUCGUGAGAUGUUGGGUUAAGUCCCGCAACGAGCGCAACCCUCGUUCUAUGUUGCCAGCACGUGAUGGUGGGAACUCAUGGGAGACUGCCGGGGUCAACUCGGAGGAAGGUGGGGAUGACGUCAAAUCAUCAUGCCCUUUAUGUCUUGGGCUUCACGCAUGCUACAAUGGCCGGUACAGAGGGUGGCGAUACCGUGAGGUGGAGCGAAUCUCUUAAAGCCGGUCUCAGUUCGGAUCGUAGUCUGCAACUCGACUACGUGAAGUCGGAGUCGCUAGUAAUCGCAGAUCAGCAAUGCUGCGGUGAAUACGUUCCCGGGCCU
RNAcentral lists this ribosomal RNA (1341 nucleotides) under uncultured bacterium. Its description in RNAcentral is "bacterial SSU rRNA". It matches the Rfam family "Bacterial small subunit ribosomal RNA", at positions 28 to 1381 of the family's 1533-position model. The record is from RNAcentral.